This 450-nucleotide ribosomal RNA is filed under the name uncultured bacterium. RNAcentral's name for it is "bacterial SSU rRNA". It matches the Rfam family "Bacterial small subunit ribosomal RNA", at positions 64 to 507 of the family's 1533-position model. The record is from RNAcentral.
GAACGAGAAAGCCCGCAAGGGUGAGUAAAGUGGCGACCGGGUGAGUAACACGUAGCUAACCUAUCCUCGAGUGGGGGAUAACCUGGGGAAACCUGGGCUAAUACCGCAGAUAGAUCCUGGCGACGUAGGUCGCUGGGAGCAAAGGCCCGCAAGGGUCGCUGGAGGAGGGGGCUGCGGCCGAUUAGCUAGUUGGUGAGGUAACGGCCCACCAAGGCGAUGAUCGGUAGCCGGCCUGAGAGGGCGCACGGCCACACUGGCACUGAAACACGGGCCAGACUCCUACGGGAGGCAGCAGUGGGGAAUUUUGCACAAUGCCCGAAAGGGUGAUGCAGCAACGCCGCGUGAGGGAUGAAGGCCUUCGGGUCGUAAACCUCUUUCGAUCGGGAAAAACGGCCCUGUGAAGAGCGGGGUCUGAUGGUACCGGAAGAAGAAGCCCCGGCCAACUACGUG